GUGCUUGCUUUGACAGCACCUGUAUUAAAAUUGGAGUGAUACAGAGAAGAUUAGCACGGACCCUGGGUAAGAUAAUAUGCAAAUUCAUGAAGCAUUUCGUAUCUUU
This 106-nucleotide small nuclear RNA is filed under the name Castor canadensis (American beaver). The record is from RNAcentral. Lineage: Eukaryota; Metazoa; Chordata; Mammalia; Rodentia; Castoridae.